This 492-nucleotide ribosomal RNA is filed under the name uncultured bacterium. RNAcentral describes it as "partial 16S ribosomal RNA". It matches the Rfam family "Bacterial small subunit ribosomal RNA", at positions 29 to 507 of the family's 1533-position model. The record is from RNAcentral.
AGUGAACGCUGGCGGUAGGCCUAACACAUGCAAGUCGAACGGCAGCACAGUAAGAGCUUGCUCUUACGGGUGGCGAGUGGCGGACGGGUGAGGAAUACAUCGGAAUCUACUUUUUCGUGGGGGAUAACGUAGGGAAACUUACGCUAAUACCGCAUACGACCUACGGGUGAAAGCAGUGGAUCUUCGGACCUUGCGCGAUUGAAUGAGCCGAUGUCGGAUUAGCUAGUUGGCGGGGUAAAGGCCCACCAAGGCGACGAUCCGUAGCUGGUCUGAGAGGAUGAUCAGCCACACUGGAACUGAGACACGGUCCAGACUCCUACGGGAGGCAGCAGUGGGGAAUAUUGGACAAUGGUCGCAAGCCUGAUCCAGCCAUACCGCGUGGGUGAAGAAGGCCUUCGGGUUGUAAAGCCCUUUUGUUGGGAAAGAAAAGCAGCAGGUUAAUACCCCGCUGUUCUGACGGUACCCAAAGAAUAAGCACCGGCUAACUUCGUG